This 381-nucleotide unclassified non-coding RNA is filed under the name uncultured fungus. RNAcentral describes it as "partial contains ITS1, 5.8S rRNA and ITS2". The stretch from base 199 to 352 matches the Rfam family "5.8S ribosomal RNA". The record is from RNAcentral. Lineage: Eukaryota; Fungi.
CUUUUUUUGGGGCAUGGGCACACCUUGAUCCCACAUCCACCUCUUUACACCUGUGCAUUUAUAUGUAACUUGGGAUGAUGAUUAAGAUGUUGGAAACAAUGUUAUAAAAACUCCCUUAACUAUGAAUUUUUUAUACACCCAUAUAUAAAGUUAUAAAAUGGAUAAUGUUAAAACAUGUAAUAAUGCCAAUAUAUAUAUAACUUUCAACAACGGAUCUCUUGGCUCUCCCAUCCAUGAAAAACGCAACGAAAUGCGAAAAGUAAAGGGAAUUGCAAAAUUCAGUGAAUCAUCCAAUCUUUGAACGCACCUUGCGCUCCUUGGUAAUCCCAAGAACAUGCCUGGUUGAAUGUCAUGAAAUUUUCACCUGCCUUUUUUUUUGCU